RNAcentral lists this long non-coding RNA (557 nucleotides) under Manihot esculenta (cassava). RNAcentral describes it as "long non-coding RNA (MESC_LNC004397)". Lineage: Eukaryota; Viridiplantae; Streptophyta; Magnoliopsida; Malpighiales; Euphorbiaceae. The record is from RNAcentral.
UCCCCAGUCUUCAGUAUUGAUUUUUUAUUUGUAAAGACAGGUAGGCUUUCUAAUUCAGAUCCUUUGCUCUAUUUCUUGUCAUUCUUCUGAUUCUGUCCUCUUCAUACUUUGUUGAUGCUCUUUGCCGAGUGGAUUUUGCAAUUUUUAUUGUUUGAUUAGCUGUGUCUUAAAUUUGAGUAAUCAGCUCUUCUUUCGAUUGUUCUUGGUGCUUAACUUUCAUGGGUUGGAUUUGGUUUGUUGAGAUAAAAUCCAAUAUUUUUUUGAUCAUUUUUGGUCAAAUUGGGUUUUAGCUGGCUGAUUUUGCUUUGGGAUUGUCAUUUUUUAUAUUGCGCUGAAAUUUCCGUGUAAUUUUUGUAUUCGUUUGAUGUAUUUGAUGGUUUUGUAAAUUAAAAUUAAAAUAUUUUAAUUGGAUUUUAGAAUGAAUGUGAAAAAAAAAAAGUUUAAAAAUCGAAUCGAACCGAUCGAACCGACCGAACCGACCGAACCGAACCGAACUAAAUCGGUUCGGUUCGAUUCGGUUAUUCCUCUUAUUCGGUUCGGUUCGGUUUGUGUAAAAU